GCUGGGCGCAGUGGCACGUGCCUGUAGUCCCAGUUACUAGGGAGGCUGAGACUGGAGGAUUCCUUGAGUCCAGGAGUUCUGGGCUGUAGUGCCCUAUGCCGAUUGGGUGCCCACACUAAGUUCAUCAUCAAUAUGGUGACCUCCUGGGAGCGGGGGACCACCAGGUUACCUAAGGAGGGGUGAACUGGCCCAGGUCAGAAAUAGAGCAGGUCAAAACUCCUGUACUGAUCAGUACUGGGAUUGCGCCUGUGAAUGGCCACUGCACUCCAGCCUGGGCAACACAGCAAGACCCCGUCCCA
Molecule: signal recognition particle RNA, 299 nt
Filed under: Aotus nancymaae (Ma's night monkey)
Lineage: Eukaryota; Metazoa; Chordata; Mammalia; Primates; Aotidae
Description: Metazoan signal recognition particle RNA (ENSANAG00000005514.1)
Rfam family: Metazoan signal recognition particle RNA
About the family: The signal recognition particle (SRP) is a universally conserved ribonucleoprotein.
Source: RNAcentral